This is a non-coding RNA of Castor canadensis (American beaver), 365 nucleotides long. The record is from the annotation of a RefSeq genome assembly. NCBI's taxonomy places the organism in Eukaryota, Metazoa, Chordata, Mammalia, Rodentia, Castoridae.
AUGGCCUGGAACUUGCUCUUCUUCAGCCUCCUGCUUCACUGUACAGGCUCUGUAGCCUCUUAUGUGCUGACUCAGCCAUCCUCAGAGUUGGUGGCACUGGGACAGACGGCCAGGAUCACCUGUGGAGGAAACAGCAUCGGAAGUAAAAGUGUGCAGUGGAACCAGCAGAAGCCAGGACAGGCCCCAGUGCUGGUCAUCUAUGAUGAUAGUAGCCAGCCCUCAGGCAUCCUGACAGAUUCUCUGGCUCCAACUCAGGAAACACAGCCACCCUGACCAUCAGCAGGGCCCAGGCUGAGGAUGAGGCCGAUUAUUACUGCCAGGUGCGGGACAGCAGCAGUGAUGUGCACAGUGACACAGACAGAUGA